Molecule: ribosomal RNA, 468 nt
Filed under: uncultured bacterium
Lineage: Bacteria
Description: partial 16S ribosomal RNA
Rfam family: Bacterial small subunit ribosomal RNA
Source: RNAcentral
GACGAACGCUGGCGGCGUGCUUAACACAUGCAAGUCGAACGGAAAGGCCCUGCUUUUGUGGGGUGCUCGAGUGGCGAACGGGUGAGUAACACGUGAGUAACCUGCCCUUGACUUUGGGGUAACUUCAGGAAACUGGGGCUAAUACCGGAUAGGAGCUCCUGCUGCAUGGUGGGGGUUGGAAAGUUUCGGCGGUUGGGGAUGGACUCGCGGCUUAUCAGCUUGUUGGUGGGGUAGUGGCUUACCAAGGCUUUGACGGGUAGCCGGCCUGAGAGGGUGACCGGCCACAUUGGGACUGAGAUACGGCCCAGACUCCUACGGGAGGCAGCAGUGGGGAAUAUUGCACAAUGGGCGGAAGCCUGAUGCAGCAACGCCGCGUGCGGGAUGACGGCCUUCGGGCUGUAAACCGCUUUCGCCUGUGACGAAGCGUGAGUGACGGUAAUGGGUAAAGAAGCACCGGCUAACUACGUG